RNAcentral lists this ribosomal RNA (288 nucleotides) under uncultured bacterium. RNAcentral's name for it is "partial 16S ribosomal RNA". It matches the Rfam family "Bacterial small subunit ribosomal RNA", at positions 335 to 615 of the family's 1533-position model. The record is from RNAcentral.
GUCCCUACGGGCGCAGCAGUAGGGAAUCUUCGGCAAUGGACGAAAGUCUGACCGAGCAACGCCGCGUGAGUGAAGAAGGUUUUCGGAUCGUAAAACUCUGUUGGUAGAGAAGAACGUUGGUGAGAGUGGAAAGCUCAUCAAGUGACGGUAACUACCCAGAAAGGGACGGCUAACUACGUGCCAGCAGCCGCAGCAAUACGUAGGUCCCGAGCGUUGUCCGGAUUUAUUGGGCGUAAAGAGAGCGCAGGGGGUUUAGUAAGUCUGGUGUAAAGGGCAGUGGCUCAACCA